ACAUCUCGUCGUCUUCAUUCGUCACUGCCGCCACUAGCUUCAUUCCUGGUGGGAGAGGACAAGGCGGUAUUGAGAGGUCAGUUCCGUUCUCUUCUCACUAUUUUUUUCCACCCCUUAUGCUCAACUCCCCCCGCAAACGUCGAAUGUUGUGAUUCACUGUCGAGCAGUCUAAAUCUGAGAGACUGAGACAUAGCACAUAAUAUAGUUAUUGGUGCCGGAUUCUAGGGUAUUGUUUGGUUUUUCCUCAAUAACACAAUGGUGUUGGUCAAAAUCGGAUUAUUCCCUCAAUUUUUCCUACUAGCCUUCACCAUUAUUCAAAUUACAAAACAUCGAAAACCAGGUUUUCUACCAUUUUUAUACUAGGUCUCACGAGACCGUUUUUGUAAUGUCUAUAGUCAUAGUCAGCUACGGAACAGAAGUCAAAGGUAUGAUUUACAUAUGUAAAAUUUAUGUUUAUCGAUGUUAAAUUUAUACUAGCUAUUUGUGCAUUUAGUUAUGCUUACAGAUGUAAAAUUUAUGAAAAAUGACACUAUUAUAUGAUGACACACAUUUUUUUAUAAACAUUGUCAUCGUUUUCUUUGUUUUUGUUGUUAGGAAGUUAAUUUUAUGAGUACAUAUACAAAAAUAUGGUAUAAUGGCAAUUUUAUAUGGUUACAAUCUUUUUUUGUACAUAACAAGAACUUUUCAUUACUUAUAUAGUUUGUUUGAUGUUUUUAUUCAUUUUUCGUGACCAAGGCAUACGUUUGCUUUUAAUUAUACAACUAUGUUAAUUUUUUAGUUUAAUCAGUUCCAUGAUGUUACUAAUAUAAAUCUAUUAUUAUAAUUGAUAUAAAGGAUAUUUUGUAUGAUUAUAGGUGAUAAAAUCUCUGAUAAAUAUAAUAUGUAUGUGUGCACUCAAUAACACACAACUAUUUUUGGUUAAUCCUUUUUUCACAUCUUCAUGUCUAUAUUUACAAUGAUCAUUUUGGUAUAUCAUAACACUCACAAAUGAAGUCUGUUGACCGAUGUAACACCCCGUCCAAUCCCUGGACCAGUGGUACUUACUCCUGGCAGCUCUCUAGGAUCAUAUAUUGUCCCCACAGACCAACACGAGUCUUUUGUGCACACUUUGUCCUCACUCACGUGCACCCGAGAAAAUUUCCCGGUUGGUCACCCAUCCCAAAUUGCUCCAAGUGCUUACCCAUCCCAAAUUGCUCCAAGCCAGGCACCCUUAACUUGAAGGUUCUUUCGAGAUAGGCUUCCAAAAAACAAGAUGCACCUUGUUGGUAUAGAUACUCUAUUAAUUAUAUCAAGCCUUGGGCCAGGAUAUCACCAUCCCAGGGGCCAGGAUAUCACAAUCCACCCUCCUUAGAAGACCGACGGUCUCGUCGGUGAACCCCAAUCCAGGACCCUCCCCUCUUAGCCAUGUUUGUGUGUCUAGUGUCGUCAUAUUCCAUGCCAUGUGACCACUUUGGGCCCACAUGCGCCAAGCACCAUAUACCCGAACCCCUAACCCAAACACACCCGUGAAACCGUGGGGGUCGGCUCUGAUACCACUUGUAACACUAUGGCAGACAGAUAUCCCCUGGGUCCACUAGAAGACAAGAAGGCCUCACGCUGGGCCUCGGGCCAGUUACCUCGCAAGGGCAUCCCUUCGUGGGUAGGGCUAGAACUACUGGCGGAAUGGGCCGACCUGAGAAGGCAACAAAUUCAAGCCCAGGCAACCUGUCAAUUCGUGCGCUAUCCACAGCAACCGCCCGACUUUCCCACGUAUGGCAUCCUUGAAUAUUGGGGCGGAUUAGGGAUAAGUCCGCAAGAUUGUAGGAAGAUCAGUUCAGUCGAUUCACUAUUAUUUAGGAGACAUGUGAUCCUCAUGUACGCAUGGAGUGCCCCCACGGUCGAGUAUAUAAGGGCCAGGAGGUACCCCCAUCAUUUCCAUCGACCAUCUACCUAUCUCAUUAGCUUUUCUCCAUUCAGGAGACUUCACCUGUAACCUACCACAUAAAGAUCCACUCCAAGAAGUAGGGUAUUACGCCUCUCAAAGAGGCCCGAACCUGUAGAAAAUUGUUUGUCCCUCUCUCGUGUGUCUAGCACAAACCAUUGAGCUAUAGUCAACAGAAUCAUCCUACCCAAAAGCACCGCAAGGGGUAACCCUGGGUGUGCGACCGGACUCUAAACGCCGACAGCUGGCACGCCAGGUAGGGGGUGUGUCGUUGAUCCAAGCUAGCUCACUGGCCAUCACAUCCCAGUGCAAGAUUGCUCUUCGCCCUGGAACCAUGUCCUGCUUCAGAACCAUCUCGUCCAUAGUGGAUGAGAAGGGAACUCUUCACCGCAUAGCGAGCCCGCCGAAAAAGAAGCUUGCCUCAGAGAUCCCAAAGAAAACCAGAGUAGAACAGUGGGUGGCGCAGCCACCCGCAUGCCGAGCGAAGAUGACCUCUUACAAACAAAAAAUCGAGAGCUUACCUACCCAAAGAACUCCGCUGUCCACCUCACCCACAAAGGAGUGGACACGGAUCACUAGAAAGGAGGAAAACAUCCCGAGUAAGGGGACGAGACCUCACCGAGUCAUCUUUCCGGCACCUUCGCCCUCAAAGGAGGACGGAAAGAAAAGCGCUGUCGCAACAAGUCCUUUCUACCCCGACAUCCUCUUCAUCAGGGGGAGAUUGGAGUCGUCUCCCAUCUCCGACGAUGAUCCAACCAUGCAAGGGGAAGAACCUCCCCAGCGUGAAGCACGACGAGGAAGGAACAGACGCCUGAAUGUGCGGCGACAUCACGAGGCUGGGGAACGGGACUCGGCGCAGCCCGUAUCUCAGGACGAAGCUUCAGAAGUAGGAGAAACUCCCGAUGAGCGAGAACACCGAGAAAGACGGAAUUCUCGCCACCGUGAUCACCGACAAGCUUAGGACCGAGAGCGGGAGCAAGCCAAGCAAGGCGCAAGGCUGUGCCGAGAGAACCCUCUCUUUGCUAGGAACCUGUACCCCGACUUCGCUCAAUCAAUGAACACGCCGAGUGAAGUCGGAGGGGUGCAAGCCCAGAUAGCUGAUGGCCUCCCGCGAACUUCGGACGUGGAAGGCUACUGGCGGCUGCUUACUCGAGCAGCUAAUCACCUUCUGCCCAUCGCUCAUCCCCCGAGCGACUUACGCCACGCCAUCAACAGCCGACGAGAUGCGCGGAGCUCCAUCAACGCUUCGCGCGACUGACGGCAUGAAAGUGAGAUAAGGCGUCGAGAGGAGUAUGACCAGGAUCACGGUGUCUCGGCUCGAAGUCGCGCCACCCGAGUUGAGUCAGCUGCGGCCUCGACCAGUGGCCCGACCUAGGGACGAUCGAGACGACACACUACCAGCUCCCCUCCCCAGGACCGACCUCAUGAACGCCGGCAGGAAGACACAUGCGGGGUCUCCGCGUCUCCGGGCCAUCCAGUGGCCCCUAACUUCAAAGUUUCCAACGUCGACAAGUACGAGCCCAAGCAGGACCGGGGGGCUGGUUGACCGUCUACACGACCACCGCCCGGGCCGCUGGGGCGACGGAAGACGUAAUGAUAGUGUAUUUGCCCAUCGUCCUAAGGCAAGACGCACUGCAGUGGCUCCAACAUCUGCCACGACACUGCAUCGACGAUUGGAGCGACUUCAGUCAGCGUUUCAUCGCUAACUUCCAGUCUCUCUCUGACAAGCCGGCGUAGCCAUGGGACCUCAAAUCCUUUAGGCGCUUAGGGCGAUGAAACACUCCGGUCAUACAUCAAGAGGUUUCAGACCAUGAGGAACCGCUUCCCCGAAGUCGCCGAGGAAGCGGUGAUUGAAGAUUUCUACCGGGGAUCCAAUGACUCGGCCUUUGUUCGAGCCAUACUACAGAAAGCGCCCGCCACCUCCGAACAACUGUUUUGAGAGGCAGAUCUCUACAUCACCAUAGAUGAGCGGGCCUAGGACCUCAUCGGAGGUAUGAAAACCUGCACCACCCCUGCCACAAUGCGACACGAACCAACAACCUGACAUGCAUUGGUAGAAGAGGCCUCACGAGGAGGUGCACGCCGCCGGACCACCCGUCGCUCGAGCCUGUGGUGCGCCCCGUGGAGGGGUACAGACACUGGAUGAAAUCCUUGACGCCUAGUGCCUAUACCACAAGGACAUGCGCCACACCCUACGGAACUAUAGGGACUUCAAACACUCCAUCGGGUCGACCAUUCUAGCCUCUACCACCUCCCCCACCGCGAGGAGGGCCUAGCAAGCCCAAGCAGCUUCAGUAGCAAGAAGGGGGAGGGGGCAGAGCUUUCCCAUGCGUUGACAGGGAGGUCAAUGUCAUCUUCGGAGGCACGGGGCACAAGAGAACCAGAGGCGGCAAAAACUCAAUGACCGACAGGUCCUGGUGACCACCACCAGUGCCCCAGCUCCUUAUUGGUGGUCGGAGCAUGCAAUAACCUUCAGUCGAGCUGAUCAAUGGCUCAACUUUGAUCAUCCCGGCAAGUACCCUCUCCUUGUUGAUCCAGUGAUCUGAGAGAGCCGGGUGAAGAAAGUAUUAGUGGACGAGGGAAGCAGCAUCAACGUCACCUUCCCCCGGACACUCCAGGCCCUGGGGGUUGAACUCAAAGAUCUCACCGAGUUAGAUACUCCUAUCUUCGGCAUCGUGCCUACUGAAGGUGAGUACCCGCUCGGGCACAUCUACAUAUCCGUCACCUUCGGGACCUCGAAGAACUACAGAACUGAGUUCCUGUUGGGGACCUUCGGCGUCCGAAGGUCCUCAAAAACAGGAUUUAACAGUAUUUCUGUAGUACAAUGUGUGAACAGGUACCUUCGGACUAAAGUUGGCAUUGCAGUAGACCGGAAUAGUACGAAGGUUGAUACAGAGCCGAAGGUGCGAGCAGGAAAGCUUCGGCAUAACAGCAAAGAGUGGAACCGACUUAAAGAUGAAAAGGCUAUUCAGACCUCAAUAGACUACUAUAGAGUUAUUAUCAAAUGUAAAGGGCAUGAAUGUAAUUUUGUAAGGGCUGUGUCCCGUGUCUAUAAAUAGGUGAACAGUAUCCCCGUACUGUUCACGCUGACUUGGCAUUCGCUUUUUGCGUCACGCUUGUACUGUCAUUUCCUUCCGAUUGAAGGUACACUUGUAGUUCAACAAUAUUUUUGUUUAUGCUCAAUAAUAAUAAAUAAUUGUUCACGUUUUCUUUUACAUUCUUUAUAUUGCAUCCUUCGUCGUUGUUUGAUGAAUUGAUGAAGGUAUGACCUUCAUCACCUUCGUCCGCAAGUCAUUAUAUCCUAAGGGAAAUAAUGCUUCGGAGGACGAAGGAUAUUAACGAUUAACAUUUUCUAUGUUGCCUUGUUCUUAACUCUUAGCAUUUGAGAACAAGUCCCCAACAUUGGCGCCCACCUCCGGUGAACUCACUUCCAUUUCUUGAGCUUUUCAACACCUUCGGCAAGCAUCACCUUCGUCAUGCCGCCAAAGAAGACUUCAGCACCAGGGGCUGGCACGCUGCAGCCGCUGGACCCCAAUCAAGACGUCCUUUCUCUUCGAGAGGCACGAAGCCAGAAGAGGAAGGCUACCAGUCCAACACCUCCGGAGGAUGAUCUAGAUCAGGAAAUUCAAAAUCUGGAAAUCCUUCAGCAGCAGGUUCAACGCAAGAAGGAGAAGAUGGCCAGGCUAGUUGAACUGCAGAGGCAGAUAGAUGAAGCCUCUGAAGAAGUUCGUCAUCUUGCUCAAGACGAACAACACCGAAGGCCUCAACAUCAAGAUCUUCAUCAGGAGGGCUUUCCCAACGAAGAUGACUGGUAUGACCAUUUCCAUCAUGGGAAUUUUGUUUUUGAUGAUGCUUCUGCCCUGUCCGCUGAGCUGCAGGCUACACCUUGGCCUCCGUCUUACAAGCCGCCUCAGCUCCCUGUAUUUGAUGGCCACUCAGACCCGAAGCAGUUUUUGAUGAGCUACGAAGCAACAGUGUCUUCGUACGGUGGCAAUGCUUCAGUCAUGGCCAAAUCUUUUGUUAUGGCUGUCAGAAGUGUUGCUCAAACCUGGUAUUCCUCCCUUCGACCAGGAACGAUCACUUCAUGGCAGAAGCUGAAGGACUUGUUGUUAACUAGCUUUCAAGGGUUUCAGACGAAGCCGGUCACUGCUCAGGCUCUCUUCCAAUGUACCCAGGACCAUGAAGAGUACCUUCAGGCAUAUGUCCGAAGGUUUCUACGAUUGAGGGCACAAGCGCCAACAGUGCCCAAUGAGAUUGUCAUUGAGGCUAUGAUCAAGGGGCUUCGGCCAGGGCCGUCAGCACAGUAUUUUGCCAGGAAGCCACCACAAACACUGGAAAAGCUGCUCCAGAAGAUGGACGAAUACAUUCGAGCUGACAAUGACUUUCGUCAAAGAAGGGAGGAGGCUUUCAGGUUUUCUGAAAUGACCAGGGGCUUCGGAGGGAGGUUUUACCCGAGGCAUGUGAGAUCAAUUCACAAUUGUACACAAAAUGAUGACAGAGGAAGCCAACAGCAAAGGCCACAAUGCUCCUCACAGGCUUCUGGACAACAGCAAAACUCCUUCCGACCACCAGCUCCAAGAGGCAGAGGCGCCAGGGGCUUCGGAGGAAGAUUUGGCGAUCAACCGAGAAGAAUCUUUUGCUUAUUCUGUGGUGAGAACAAAGGCCAUACUACCAGGAUGUGCCAUGUUACUAUUCAGAAGCAAAAGGAAAUAGCUGAAGCAGCAGCACAGCAAGCCCAGCCGAAGCAGGUCAUGCAUACAGCUUCGUAUCAUUCGCCCUACAUCCCAGAAUAUGUGGGCAACCAUCCUGCAGUCUCUGCUGCUUCGGCGAGUCAGCCUCAAGCUUCCUGGCAACAGCCUCCGCCUCCACCUCCGUUGCAACAAGGCCAGCAGCCAGAAGGGAGCCAAUAUGCUCCGCAUCAAAGGGACUUCAGAGAACAGUCCGAAGCUCGCACGGUCAACAGCACUGUGCCAGAGUCAAAGCACAUCUAUUGACAAAUAUCCUACCUUAAUAAGCAAUCUUUUCAUUCAGUUUUAUUUUCUGUAAUAAAGGACAUUGUUUAGGUUACAUGUAAUUAGUUUCGUUCAUUCCUACAAGAGAAAUAUGUUUUCUUCACAGGCUUGUGAUAAUAAAAAGGACCUUCGGACUAUCGAAAGUUCUUCGAAGCAACAAAAAGUCGUUCUAAGGAACGCAGAGUAAGUUUGACGAAGUCACAAAAGUCGUUCCGAAGGGAGCGCAGUGUAAGUUUUCUGCUCCAAAGUCGUUCCAAAAGGAAUGCAGAGCAUACAGCGAAAAGUCAACGCUGAUACCGCCUAAGUAAAAGGCGAAGAAGCUCCAAAGACGUUCCUAAGGGAAUGCAGAGCUUACAGCGAAAAGUCAACGCUGAUUCCGCCUAAGUAAAAGGCGAAGAAGCUCCAAAGACGUUCCUAAGGGAAUGCAGAGCUUAUAGCGAAAAGUCAACGCUGAUUUACAAAAAGAUUAUGUGUUUUAUCGCGCAGAUAUGUGUGUAUUUUCGGAACAUCACCUUACAUAGCAUAACAUCAUCACAUCAUCUUUGCAUAACAUAAGCAUCAUACAUCAUACUGCAUGUGGCAAAAGAAAGAAGUAUGAUACCAAUCUUCGGGAAAAUGCUUUGAAAAAGGGGCAAAUCAUGCCGUCACAAGGAAAAACAAUAUUGAUCUCUCAAGUAUAGCCUUGAAGCAUGUUUCUACGAAGCUUCAACACUCUUUCAGGAUACUUCGGAUAUUGUUGUGAUAAAUGGUAAUUCUUCUUCACGAAGCAUGAAAAGAAGGGAAGGUGUUUUUUCGCCAAAGACUCAAAAACGGUACGUGUGUAAAGUUUCAUGCAUCGUAAAGAGUUGAGUAGCAAAAAUAGAUAUAUUACAUUCGGGGUUACAAAAUGUUACACUAUAUUACAUUUCAGAAGUUUUUUACAAAAAUGUUUAAUCCUCUCUCAAAACGACUUCUGCAGCCUCAUUCAGGAGCCGAUUGACGACUUCGUCCAUAAUAUCUUCGGCCAUCUUUUUAAUUUCGUCGUCCCCCUUCGGCUGGGGGUCCGAAGGCGCUUUAGUCGGAUCUGAAGCAGGACACGGCUACAUUGCUAUUACAAAUCGUAAACAAAUCUUAAAGCCUAAGAUUAUAACACGAUAAAAACUACUAGUUAAUACCUAAUUGACCUUCGGCCUCUGCGCUCUUUUUAGCAGCCUCAGCUACUUCUCUAGCAUCGUGAAUGCCCUUUUCACUUCUUCGAAUAAUUUCUCCGGCCAUCUCUCGGCCACCAUUAUCCCAGAUAUCAGUAAAAAACUUUCCACCAAUUAUGCUAGCUUCGGCCGAAGGAUCUUUUGUAUCUUCAAAGGACAAAGCAGCUUCGGACUGUGCCAAAAUUUUUAUAUGUUCACAGCCCUUUUUCUCUAAGAUGGUGGCAAUCCCUCUGGCGCCAGAGAAGGCACAUAUAUCUCCUCGGCUACUUAAAAUUUCUUCAAAAGCUUCAGCUUCGUGGCCAAUCCAUUCAAUAACACCUUCGGGAUUGCCUCUCGAAAAGUUUUCCUCACUUGAGAACGCGCCAACCUUGGCGAAGCUAGUCUUUAAUUUCUUAACACAAUCUAUAGACUUGUUGUAGCAUCGCUUUUUGGACGAACGAAGCUCUUCAACAGUCACUUCUAGGUGAUCCGCCCAUUGGUCGCUGAGUUCACGUUUUGUUUCUUCAAGAAUGCGCUCUUCCUUGGCUCUGGCCAGUUGCUUCCGAAGGUCUUCAAUUUCGCGUUUCUGAACUUCGGCUUGACUUUUAAAAGCAGCUUCGUCUUCCUUUAUUUUAUUUAUCAAUGAGUAUAAUAUUUUAUCUUUUUCGAGACCUUCGUUCCUCAGUUCAAUUACUUCAGAACGAAGGUUGCUCAGGGCUAUAGUACACCCUUCGUCCUCAGCAUCUUUCUGCGCCCUGAGGGCAUUGCUGAGUAUCAGGCCCUGCAAAGAAGAGUAUGUUUGUAUCCUUAGAUUUAAACAAACGAAAAAUUUUGAAAAAAUACAAGAAUUUCAUUUCUCGCACCUUUAAGCUAUUGUAAGCUAGGCUGUCAGCCAGAUCAUUCUUUGACAGCACCGAAAGUCCGUCUUCUAAAGUUGGAAAUCCGAAGCUCCUGCUCAUCUCCCGACAGACAGAAAUUUCCUUGCUGUCGGGGAGACAAUACAAGAAGCCUUCUUCUCCACUGCCAUUGAAUAUUAAUGCCCCUUUUGGAUAUUUCAGUCUUUGGGCAUAGUGCUGGGCCUCUUGUUCUUCUUUUUCUGAUAGUUUUUUCCCCGAAGCAUGACGAAUAAUAUAGUCACGAAUAUUGGAGGAUGCUUCGGGGGCAAUAACACCGGUUUCUUCAGCAAAUGUUGGCUUUGUUAUUUUUUCUGCCUCACUUUCCAAGGGUUUUAUCUUUGCGGGCUCUGAAGGCCCAGCUUCGGUUUCAGUCUCUUGACUUGGAGCUUUAGAAUCAGAAAUUUCAGUUGUUUCGGGAGUAGCAGCAGCCUUCUUCGGAGGUGUGCUUGAAGAUUUAAUCGUUUCCAGUACAUCUAGCACAUUCGCCAUUCUCUUUCUUUUCGGAGUUACGGCUGGCACUUUUUCAUUUUUUGCCCUCCCAAUGCUUGCUGCAGGACUCAAAACUUCUGAUGUUUUGGAACUCCCAGUUACUUCCUUUACCUCUUCCAUUUUUUCUGUGGAUGGCGCUUCGGCCUUCUCUUUCGUUUCUGAUAUCAAAAUCUUUGAUUGCUCCAAUUUUGUCUCUGUUGGCACUUUGGCCGCUUCUGCGACUUCUGGCAGCAAAGUUGGCUCGGUUGGUUUUUCAGCUUCGGUGGCCGAAGGAAUUUCUCCAGUAAACUCAGGCACCGAAGCUGGUUCAAUAUAGCGCGGCCGAUGUGUGAGAACCUUUAUUUUCUUUCUUUUUGGUUCUGGCUCGUCAAAAGCAAUUGUAGCUUCUUCUUUUGCAGAGGUUGUGUUUUUUCUCUUCUGCCUUUGAAUGGGAUAGCAAUAGUCAGGGUAGACAAACCCGAUUGCAUCGAAUACCCGAUUCAGCCUCUUCUUCUUUCGGCCUCCGAAGGCUGCCGACAUUGCAGUAUCUUCGGCCUUCGAAUAAGCCCCAAGCAGUUCAUCACUUAAAUUUUCAAUACUUUUUAACCAGUCGUCAUCUGGCUCGACGAAUUUAUCUCCAAAUUUAAAAGUGUACUUCAACCUGAUAAGACCACCUUCGUCGGCCUCUUUUACGGUUUCUUGAGGCAUUUCCCAUUUCUCCGCAAGUGGCCAUACCCUGAAGGCAAUAUGUUCUUGAACUAAAUCUCUUGUUCCAAUGAAAGAGCACACUGCGCCGAAGGCCCUCUGGCAUUCUUCGGCAGCUUCAUUCAUUUCAACCUUCGGCCUCCGAAGGCCGAAGCUUUGCCAAAUAGGGCGCAUAAUUAUGCCUUUGAUAUCUUCUCGCGCGCUCAGGUCAUUUUUCACAUAGAACCAUUCUGUCAUCCAGUCUCCGGGCCAUCUUUUCCGAAAGGUCGGCACGGGGCAGCUUGACCCAGACCGAGAAACAAAACUGUAGCAGCCAAAAUUGUUGUGAUACUGUUCCUUACCCCAAGGUUUUGUUUCAUAUAAUAGUUCAUGUAUAUUGCAGAAGCUUUUUGCGUCAGGCUUCAGACCUUGGCUUCUCACGGCCCACACGAAGACAUUCAGUUUUAUAAUUGCCUCGGGCGUAAGUUGGUGGAGAUAAACUUCGAAUAUUUUCAGUACCUCCACAACGAAGCUGCUCAAAGGAAAUCGCAGUCCAGCUUUCAGAAAGCUUCGGUACACUACGACUUCAUUCUCUUCAGGGUGUGGGCAAGUUUUUUCGCCUUCAUCGGCCCUCACAAUGGAUAAAUCCCGGAAAUACCUUCCUCUCAUGUUGACAAGAUGAUUCUUUUUGAUAGUUGAUUUACCAUAAACUGAAUGGCUUGGUCGCCAUGGACGAUCUUCGGAGUCCUCGCCACCACUGUCCACAUCAUAGCUGUCACUGUCACCAGUAUCUUCGGACAAACCUUCCAGAAUCUCCUUAGUAAUCUUUUCUGUAUUGGUCUUUGACAUCGCUAUAAGAAACCCCAGGUUUUUCUCUUCGUCAAGGCUCAGCUUCAUCUCAGCAACAGCCUUCUUAUCUUCAGACAUCUUCGGAGACGCUAAAAAACUAUUUUCAAAGCCGAAGCUUCAAAGCUAAAAGCUUAGCAAAUCACAGUGCACAAGAGCUAAAAAUUGAGUGAGCAGGAGUGGUUCGCCAGAAAGCGUGCAAAAUGAGUUUGCGGUAUGGCCGUAUUUAUACGCUUGGUGUGUUGAAAGCUGAAAGACCCCACUUGUCAUUGAAUGUUGCUAUUCUAGCAAAGGGAAGGUGUUUUUUCGGACCUUCGGCGUAAAACCUUCGUCCAUAUCGCAAUCUAAAUUUAUUAUUUCAAACAAAUUAAAAUUGCGAGGGGCUACUGUUGGGGACCUUCGGCGUCCGAAGGUCCUCAAAAACAGGAUUUAACAGUAUUUCUGUAGUACAAUGUGUGAACAGGUACCUUCGGACUAAAGUUGGCAUUGCAGUAGACCGGAAUAGUACGAAGGUUGAUACAGAGCCGAAGGUGCGAGCAGGAAAGCUUCGGCAUAACAGCAAAGAGUGGAACCGACUUAAAGAUGAAAAGGCUAUUCAGACCUCAAUAGACUACUAUAGAGUUAUUAUCAAAUGUAAAGGGCAUGAAUGUAAUUUUGUAAGGGCUGUGUCCCGUGUCUAUAAAUAGGUGAACAGUAUCCCCGUACUGUUCACGCUGACUUGGCAUUCGCUUUUUGCGUCACGCUUGUACUGUCAUUUCCUUCCGAUUGAAGGUACACUUGUAGUUCAACAAUAUUUUUGUUUAUGCUCAAUAAUAAUAAAUAAUUGUUCACGUUUUCUUUUACAUUCUUUAUAUUGCAUCCUUCGUCGUUGUUUGAUGAAUUGAUGAAGGUAUGACCUUCAUCACCUUCGUCCGCAAGUCAUUAUAUCCUAAGGGAAAUAAUGCUUCGGAGGACGAAGGAUAUUAACGAUUAACAUUUUCUAUGUUGCCUUGUUCUUAACUCUUAGCAUUUGAGAACAAGUCCCCAACAGUUCCUAAGGUUCAAGGUGGCGCGCUUCGACUAUGGGUACAACGCCAUCAUCGGAAAGCCGGGACUAGCAACGUUCAUGGCUAUUUCGCAUUACCUAUACAUGAUACUAAAGAUGUCGGGACCUCAAGGAAUCAUCACUAUGCGUGCUGAUUUCCAAGGUGCUGCAGAGUGCUUUCGGGGAGCCAUUCAGACAGCUCUCACUGCUGGGCCCUCGAUAGCUCUUCCCACACAGGUGAACACUAGGUCGAAGGAGGAGGGUCUCACAAUACCCACCAAUGAAGCUCAGGUCGUGACCUCUAUACGACUGACUGAAGAGACUAAGAGGAUCAACCUGGGAUUCGCUGAUGAGCGCAAGACCGCCAUCAUCAGUUCCAGCCUUGAUGACAAAUAGGAAAGCGCGCUCGUCCGAUUUCUGCAAGAUAACCGAGACGUAUUCGCAUGGCAACCUGUGGAUAUGCCGGGAGUCCCGAGAGAGCUGGCCGAGCACAAAUUGAAGGUCUAUCCUCAAGCAAGGCCGAUUCGACAGAAGCUGCAUCGUUUCACGCCUGACAAAAGAGAAGUUAUUCGCAUCAAGUUAGCUUGCUUAGUGUCUGCAGGGUUCAUUAGGAAAGUACUGCACCCUGAGUGGCUAGUGAAUCCUAUUCUUGUACUCAAAAAGAAUAAAGUGGAUUGGCGCAUGUGCGUCGACUAUACUGAUCUCAACAAGCAUUGUCCGAAGGUUCCCUUCGGGCUCCCUAGAAUAGAUCAGGUAGUUGAUUCAACCGCUGGUUGUUCUAUGCUCGCUUUUCUAGACUGCUACUCCAGAUAUCAUCAGAUCAGCUUGGCAAAAGAAGAUGAAGAGAAGACUGCUUUCAUCACCCCAUUUGGAGCUUUCUGCUAUACCUCCAUGUCGUUCGAUCUCAAGAAUGCUGGGUGACUUACCAGAGAGACAUCCAAACAUGCUUAGCCGAUCACUAGGGCAAGCGAGUGGAAGCCUACGUCGACGAUGUGGUUAUCAAGAUAGAAAACUCAGAAAACUUCAUCGAAGAUUUGUAGUUGGUCUUCAACAGCCUGAGACGCUACCGGUGGAAGCUGAACCCAGAAAAGUGUGUCUUCAGAGUACUGGCUGGGAAGCUACUCGGAUUCAUUUUCAGCCACCAAGGAAUUGAAGCAAAUCCAGAAAAGAUCGAGGCCAUCAUGAGAAUGGAAGCACCAUGGUCACAAAAAAGGUGGAAAGGCUUACUGGAUGCAUGGUAUCCCUAAGUAGGUUCAUAUCAAGGCUAGGAGAUAAAGGGAUGCCAUUUUACAAAUUGCUCAAGAAUGUGGACAUAUUUCAGUGGACCAUAGAGGCACAGGAAGCUCUAGAGGCACUCAAGAAGUUCUUAACCACACCACCAGUACUCAAGCCGUCAUGCCGAGCUACGCCUUGUCAACCGGUAGAAGAUCUGCUCCUUUACAUCUCCUGCACGACUCACGUGGUAAGCACCACGUUAGUAGUCGAGCGGGCGGAGGAAGGACAUGCAUACCCAGUGUAGCAUCUAGUUUACUUGAUCAGCGAAGUCCUCGGGCCCUCAAAGAUAUGGUAUCCUCAAGUGCAGAAGCUGUUGUACGCGAUACUUGUAACCGCUCACAAGCUCCGACACUACUUUGACGACCAUAAAGUCAUAGUAGUCACAGGAUUUCUGAUAGGGGAUAUUCUCCACAACAAAGAAGCUAUUGGAUGGAUAGCCAAGUGGGCAUGCGAGCUCGGAGCUCAUGACAUAGAGUUCUGGCCCCGCAUGGCAAUAAAAACUCAGGCGCUGUUCGACUUCAUAUCAGAAUGGACUGAGCACCAGGUCCCGGAUAGCCCAGAAGUUACUAAAGUGUGGACAAUGUACUUUGAUGGCUCGUUAAAACUGCAAGGAGCGGGUGCAGGGAUUCUCUUUAUUGCUCCUAGAGGUGAACAACUCAAGUAUGCACUCCAACUGUUGUUUCCAGCAUCAAAUAAUGCGGCAGAGUAUGAAGCACUGGUCCACGGGCUGAGCAUCACAGUAUCACUCGGCAUCAAGAAGCUGAUGGUAUAUGGCGACUCGUUGGUGGCCAUAAGCCAGAUAAACAAGGAUUGGGACUGCUCGACCGAUUCAAUGGGCAAAUACUGCGCAGCUGUGCGAAAACUAGAAGACAAGUACGAAGGAUUGGAGUUCCAUCACAUGGAAUGGGAUCGCACUGCAGCAGCAGAUGUGUUGUCAAAGCUAGGAUCCACUCAGGCCCAGGCUCCACCUGGGAUCUUCGUCCAAGAAAUAUCACAGCUGAUCUUCCUCGUGGACCAGGUGGAAGAAUGCAACACCUUGAGUUAGCCAGAGGCAGAUCCCAACGACUGGAGAGAGCCUAUCAUCAGGUACAUAAAGAAUAAAGAAGAGUCGGAUGACAAGGCCACGACAGAACACAUCGUGAGGCAGUUAGCCCACUACAACAUCAUAGGGGGCUUGCUGUACAUGAGAGGUGCAGGAGGAGUCUUCAUGAAUUGCAUCCACUCGGCCACUGGGAGACAAUUGUUAGAUGAAAUCCAUGUCGGGCAGUGUGGGGUGCAUGCUGCAUCAAGGACUCUGGUGGGAAAGGCUUUCAGAUCCAGUUUUUACUGGCCCAUUGCGAAGAGUGACGCUACCGAGUUAGUCCAGAAGUGUGAAGCGUGCCAAUUCGUGUCAAAGCAACAACACUUGCCCGCGCAGCAGCUGCAGACCAUUCCUGUAACCUGGUCGUUUGCAUGCUCGGGGCUGGACAUGAUCGGACCUUUCAAGAAGGCUCAGGGAGGCUACACUCAUAUACUGGUUGCCAUUGACAAAUUCACAAAAUGGAUAGAGUACAAGCCAAUUGCCUCCUUGACCUCAGCAAAAGCGGUGGAGUUUAUCUAGGAUAUAUUAUUCAGGUUCGGGAUACCAAACAACAUCAUCACUGACCUGGGAUCCAACUUCACCAGCUCUGAAUUCUUCGAUUUCUACGAGCAAAGGAGCAUCUAGAUCAAGUACGCAUCAGUGGCACAUCGAAGAGCCAAUGGCCAGGUGGAAAGAGCCAACAGAAUGAUACUGGAAGCACUCAGAAAAAAGUAUUCGACAAGAGCGAAAAGCUUGCAGGAAAAUGGAUCAGAGAACUGCCAUACGUGGUCUGGAGCCUGCGAACUUAACCCAGUCGAGCUCUGCAUGGAAAUACUCCGUUCUUCAUGGUUUAUGGGUCGGAAACAGUGCUGCCUGCCGAUCUGAUCUUCAGGGCGCCGAGGCUGACUUUUGAAAACAUAGUUGAGGCAGAAGCAACCAGGCUAGAAGACAUUGAUGUGCUGGAUCGAACAUAGUAAUUCAGUCAGCCAGGUACCAGUAGACCUUGAGGCGCUACCACGACAAAGCUGUGCGGCACCGAUCCUUUGCAGUGGGAGACUUGAUCCUCCGCCGGAUUCUAAUGUGGGAGGGACGACACAAGCUUUCACCACCAUGAGAAGGAUCGUUCAUCGUAGCAGAGGUCACACGGCCAGGAUCAUAUCGACUUACUCAGAUGGACGACACAUAAGUGGGGAACUCAUGGAACAUAGAACACCUCAAAAAGUUCUACCCUUAGCGAGGCCUCAAAAACCCUCGAAGAAAAGUUGUACUCUGUAACUAGAAGAUUUCAUCAUCAAUAAAGCUGUCAUUUUCCAAAGGCAUUCAAACUCUUGAUUGACAACUGGCUUUGAUUGGGCUUGACUCGAAAUCGGCAUGACUUGACUUAGGGUGAUCACUAUGCCCUACUAACGGAACAAUUGGCUUAAGUCAGAAACGCCUUAAGUCGGUGCGACAUGCUCACACUUACUUGACUUAGGGUGAUCACUAUGCCCUACUAACGGAGCAAUCGUCUUAAGUCGGAAACACCUUAAGUCGGUGCAACAUGCUCACACUUACUUGACUUAGGGUGAUCACUAUGUCCUACUAAUGGAGCAAUCGGCUUAAGUCGGAAAUGCCUUGAGUCGGUGCGACAUGCUCACGCUUACUUACCUUAGGGUGAUCACUAUGCCCUACUAACAGAGCAAUCGGCUUAAGUUGGAAAUGCCUUAAGUCAGUGCGACAUGCUCACGCUUACUUAACUUAGGGUGACCACUAUGCCCUACUAUCAGAGCAAUCGGCUUAAGUCGGAAACGCCUUAAGACGAUGCGGCAUGCUCACACUCGCAUGAUUUAGGGUGACCACUGUACCCAAGUAGCAAAAUAACCAACUCAAAUUGGGAGUACUUCGAAAAAAGAAAUAUCUCGCUUACAAGUUCCAGGGGUGUUUUCCAGCACCCUGCCCACUGAACAAUCAGUUCUAACAUAACUGUUGCACACUUGCAGAAUUCAUAUUACAUAUUUUCUCUAAAAGGUGCUAACUCGAUUGUUGGGGGCCUUCCUCUUCCAAAGGUCCUAAAAAACGUGACUAAUAUGUUUUUCAGUGUAACAUAGACUGCUGCAGGAGGCUUCGGCUUUGGGAUGAAGGUAUCCGUGAUAUGGAGAUACAACCUGAAGGCAGGAUGAACGGACACCGAAGCUGUGGCUGAAGGAGUUUCGGCUUAAUAUAAUGUCGAAGGUGGAAGAUGAAACCGACCUAAAGGGGAAAGACUACUUAGUCCUUAAUAGCUCGCCUUAUGAUUAACAGUAAAUGUCAAAUACAUGAAUGUAAUUUUGUCCGGGCUGCAUCUCAUGCCUAUAAAUAGAUGAACAGUAACACCGUACUGUUCACGCUGAAUUGUUAUCACUCUUGCGUCACUCUCGCAUUUCACCUUCUGGCAAGCCAAAGGUAUUAAUGUAAUGUUAAUAUCAUUGAUGUUUAUUCAUAUUUAUAAAAUGAGAAUAUAAAUUAUCUAAUAAUUAAUGAUUAUUUAUAUUCUUUUGUGUUUCAUGUAUACUUAUUUAUAUUCGUUCACUGAGAUGAUGAAGGUACGCCCUUCAUGACCUUCGUCCAAAGAUCAUUAUAUCCCAAAGGAGAUAAUGCUUCGAAGGACAAAGGUCUUUAAUCGUUAACAAUUGUGUUGCUUUGUUCUUGAUGUAUAGCAUUCGAGAACAAGGACCAAUAUUGGCGCCCACCUCCUGUGAACUCAUUCGACCACCUUCGGCAAGCAUCGACUUUCGCAAUGCCGCCGAAGAAGACAACGGUGCCAGGGGCUGCCCUGCAGCCACUGGACACUAAUCAGGAGACGCUGCGAGAAGCUAGGAGCUAGAAGAGGAAGGCUACUAGCCCAACACCUUAGGAGGAGGAGUUGAAUCAAGAGAUCAGGGAUUUGGAGGCUAUCCACCAACAGGUGCAAAGGAAGAGGGAAAAGAUGCUUCGGCUCAUCGACCUUUAGAAGAAGAUCGAUGAAGCUGCUGAAGAAAUGUGUCACCUCACUCAGGAUGACCAAGACCGAAGGCCCCAACACAGGGAGCUUCGCCAAGAAAGCCUAUUCAAUGAUGAUGAAUGGUACGGUGACUUUCAUCAGGGCAAUUUUGCUUUUGAUGAUGCUUCUCCCAUGGCAGCAGAUUUGCAGGCUACCCCAUGGCCGCCGUCAUACAAGCCACCUCAGAUCCCCAUGUAUGACAGGCACUCAGACCCGAAGCAAUUCUUGAUGAGCUACGAAGCAACUAUAUCCUCAUAUGGGGGCAAUACUACAGUCAUGGCAAAGUCAUUCGUCAUGGCAGUCAAAAGCGUAGCUCAAACUUGGUACUCUUCUCUUCGGCCAGGGACAAUUACGUCAUGGUAGAAGCUAAAGGAUAUGCUAGUGACCAGCUUUUAGGGUUUUCAAAUGAAAUCGGUCACUGCCCAAGCUCUUUUUCAGUGUAUGCAGGACCAGGAGGAGUACUUGCAGGCGUAUGUCCGAAGGUUCUUGAGGCUGAGAGCUCAAGCACCUACAGUGCCUAAUGAGAUCAUCAUUGAGGCCAUGAUCAAGGGGCUCCGGCCAGGACCUACGGCGCAAUACUUCGCAAGGAAGCCACCACAAACCUUGGAGAAGCUUCUCCAGAAAAUGGAUGAGUACAUCAGAGGUGACAAUGAUUUUUGACAAAGAAGGGAAGAGGCCUUCAGAUACUCUGAGUUGGCCAAGGGCUUCGGAGGAAGAUUCCACCCUAGGCAUGUCAGGUCGAUUCAUAAUUCCAGUACAAAUGACAACAGGGGAAAUCAUACCCAAACACAACAACACAGCUCUCAAUCAUCAGGGGCGCAACAAAGUUCUUUAAGGCCAUCAACUCCAAGAGGUAGAGGGGGCAGAAGCUUUAGAUGAAGAUAUGGAGAUCAGCCUAAGAAACUGUUUUGUUUGUUCUGCGGCAAAGACAAAGGGCAUACCACAGGAACGUGCCAGGUUACAUUCAAAAGCAGAAAGAAAUUGCCGAAGUUGAAGCAUGGCAGAAUCAGCCGAAGCAGGUUCUACAUACCCCUUCAUGCUACUCUCCCUACGUCCCAGAGUAUGUAGGCAAUCAACAGCCUACCGCCUCUAUUGCUUCGGCAAGCCAUUCUCAAGUUUCCUGUGCCUAGUUGCCACCACCACCACCACCGCUAGCACCUACUCUGGUUCGCAGUCAGUAGCCAGAAGGGCAUCACCACGCUCAGCAACAGCGCGAUCUUCGGGAGGAGUCCGAAGCUCGCACAGUCAACAGUACUGUGCCCGAGUCGAAGCACAUUUACUAAAGAAUAUCCUAACCUGGUGUAUCUUUGUUUUGUUUGUCAUUUUAUUUUUUCAUGAAAAACAGUUCACAGGGGUUUAAUCUCCAAUUUGAUGUAAUAAUAUUGUGGUCACAUCAUCGAGUGUAGAAUGCAACCCUCAACAAUGCUUUCGAAGCUACAAAGUCGAUCCUAAGGGAGCACGGAGUAAGUCCCGAAGCUACAAAGUUGUUCCUAAGGGAGCACAGAGUAAGUUCCGAAGCUACAAAGUCGUUCCUAAGGGAGCGCAGAGUAAGUUCCAAAGCUCAAAAGUCGUUCCUAAGCGAAUGCAGAGCCAAUAUUCCACAGAAAUAAAAGGUGAAGAAGCUCAAAAGUCGUUCCUAAGGGAAUACAGAGCUUAAAUACCACCGAAAUAGAAGGUGAAGACGCUCAAAAGUCAUUCCUAAGGGGAUGCAAAGCUUAAAUGCCACCAAAAUUGAAGGUGAAGAGACUCAAAAGACGUUCCUAAGGGGAUGCAGAGUCUGGGUGUGUUUUCAUGUGGGUAUGUGUCUUCAGCAUAAACAUCAUGCUGCAUCAUAUCAUCGCAUCAUUUCGCAUAGCAUUACAUCAUACAUCAUGUCGCAUCAGCAACAAGAUUGUGGAGAAGGAAAGGGGCUUCUUUCAAAAUAUGCGAUGAAUGGAACAAUGUGCUGGAGCACAAAGUGUACCUUCAGAAAUUAUAAUUUUACAUGCCAAAAGAAUCUUCGUCAACAACAAUAUUAUAUAACAGCUGCGACAUAAGAAGAGGUCUCUUUCUUUGUGAAGCAUGAAAAGAAGGGAAGGUGUUUUUUCGCCGAAGGCUCAAAAAUGGUAUGUACGCAAAUUUCAUGCAUCGCAAAAAAAUAUAUUACAUUAAUAUACACACAAAUACUCAAUGUUUAACUCAUAUACGAAUAUUACAUUUCCCAAAUACUAUAUUUCUUAAGUACAUAAGAAUUCAGUCUUCUUUUAAUAUCUUCUUGGCAGCUUCGUUCAGGAGUUUGUUGAUAGCUUCAUCAACGGUUUCUUCUGCAAUCCUUAUUGUUUUUAAUGCUGCUUUCAUGGCUGGAUUGGCCUCAGGGUCAUAUGGCUCAGGUGGCGGUCAAAGUUCAGUUGUAGAAAAGAACAAGUUGUUAAUCCGAAGCCAAAAAAUAAACACCGAAGCUAAAAUUCAGUAAUAAUACCUAUACGUAUUGCACGCUCAGCAGCCUCUUCGGCUCGCUUAGCUUCUUCUCAGGCGUCAUGAGAUUCCUUUUCAUUUUUCUUUAUAGCUUCGUUGGCUAUCUCGCGGCCGCCCUUCAUCCAAACAUCCGAAUAGAAUUUUCCGCCUAUCAAAGUAGCUUUGGUUGAGGGCUCCUUAGCGUUGUCUAUGGAGAAGACGGCUUCUGCCUGGGUUGCGGCUUUAAUGUGUUCACAACCAGUUUUCUCUAGAAUCGCUGCAACCCCUCGAGCACCGGAGAAGGCACAAAAAUCCCCAUGGUCGCUAAGAGUUUCUCCAAAAGCUUCACCCUCUUCGUCGAUCCAUUAAAUGACUCCUUCUAGAUCGUCUCGAAUAAACUUUUGCUCUGAUGAGUAUGCACCCACCUUGGCAAAGCUAUCUUUCAGUUUCUUGGCGCAAUCCAUGGAUUUCUCAUAACAUCUUUCCUUGGAUUCACAAAGCUCUUUCACAUUCUUUUCCAACCUCACACUUGUCCAUUCACUUAUCUCUUGCUUUGCCUUUGCAAGUUCAAAGUUUUCAUUAGCUUCGGCAAUCUUUUUCUGAAGAUCUUCGACUUCGGCUAUAUGAGCUUCGGACUGUGCAGUAAGUUUGGCUUCGCUGACCUUUACUCUGUCUACCAAGGAGAGUAGAAUUUUAUCCUUUUCUAAGGCUUCAUUCCUCAGUCUGAUAACCUCUGUCCGAAGGUUCCCAAGUGCAAUUGCACAGCUUACAUUUUUGGCCUCUUUUUGGGCUCUUAAAGCUUUACUAAGAAUUAAGCCCUAAUAACAAAAAAUGCGUGUGAGAACAUAAAAGCAAAGAGAAAACCAAUAAACAUAACUUACUUCAUGAAUCAAAGAGUAUAUACCUUUAAGCUGUUAUAAGCAAGGCUAUCCGCAAGGUCAUCUUUUGUCAUUACAGAUAGUCCAAGUUCUAGCUUCGGGAAUCCUAUAUUUUUUGCCAUCUCCCGGCAAACAGAUAUUUCCUUGUUGUCUGGAAGACAGUAUAGAAAAUUGUCUUCAUCAGUACCAUUAAACACCAGGGAUCCUGGGGGAUACUUCAGAUCCUUAGCAUAAUGCAUACCUUUGGCAAUCUGUUCCCCUGAUAGCUUUUUCCUCGCCGCGUGAAACACAAUAAAGUCCAAUCCCUCAAUAGAAGCUUCAGCGACAGAGGGUUCAGAUUCUUUGCUACUUCUCCCUUUUUCUAACGAUAAUGGAGCUUUUGCAGUAUCCGAAGGUCCUUGUUCAGUAUUCUUUUCAACAGUCCCUGCAGGCCCUAUUUCUGCGGAAGCUGAGGGCCCGGCUUCAGUUUCAAUCUGGGUCAUGAUAGCUUCGGCAGUUUCUUUCGUAUUCUUUUCACCUAUGUAAGGUACUUCUGCAAAGGCAGGAGUCAGUACUUUUGUCGAUUCCAUGACCGCGUCUAAAACGCUGGCCAUUCUCCUCCUUUUUAGAGUUGCUGCAGGAAUUUUUGUCAUCUUCGGCAGCCCCAUCUCUUGCGACGUGCUCAGAAACUUCGGUUGCUUGGCCGACCUCUUUGGUUCUGGUCCUUCGGCUGAUUUUUUAGUUUCACCAGGUCACUUUGGCACUUCGACCGUCUCGGUUUCCUCCUGUACCGUUAUCACCAUCGGUUUCGGCACUUCGGCCGAUUCUCCCUUGGCUUCGGCAGGAGUGGGAAACUCUGGCUCAAUAGCGGAAGAAGUCCCCUCAGCAAGCUUCGGCACUCUAUCCGUUUCGAUGUACCUAGGCCGGUGUGUCAAAACUUUAAUCUUUUUCCCCUUUGGCGUAGCAGAAAUGGCCGAAGCAGCAGCUUUUCUUUUCUUUCUCUACUUCCGCGAGGGAUAACAAUAGUCUGGGUAUACAAAACCAAUUACAUCAAAAACUAUGUUUAAUCUUCUCUUGCCUCGUCCUCCGAAGGCUAAUAUCAUGACAUCAUCUUCGGCCGUUGUGUAGGCCCCAAGCAAUUCGUCACUAGUUGCCUCAACACAAUCCAGCCAUUCAUCGUUCAGCUCAUCAAAUUGAUCCCUGUAUCUGAAGGUGUAUUUUAGAUAAACCAAGCCGCCUUGACUGGACCCGGUAGCAGCUUCCUUCGGCAUCUCCCAGUCAUUUACAAGAGGCCACACUCUAUAAAAGUGCAUACAGUGUUAAAAGCCUUCUGGCAUGCUUCAAUUUCAUUUCCAAGAGUAGUGGUUGGCCUUCAGAUGCCGAAGCGAGACCAAAUAGGGCGUUGAAUGAUCCCCUUUAUAUCUUCUCUUUCAACUAAGUUGUUCUUUUCAUAAAACCAUUCUUCCAUCCAAGCUCCUGGCCACCUGUGAGCGAGGCACGAAGCCGUAACAACCAAAAUUAUUAUGAUAUUGCUCUUUGCCAGUAUUUUUCGUCUCAUAGGACAGCUCAUGCAUGUUACAGAAGCAUUUUGCACUCGGCUCUAGUCCUUGGCUCCUCAUGGCCCAAAUGAAAAUCCUCAUUAUGAUGAUAGCUUCAGGGGUAAUCUGAUGAAGGUAAAUCUCAAAAGUCUUCAGAACCUCAACUAAAACUGAAGCCCUGCCUUCAUAAAGCUCCUAUAGACAACAACUUCGUCUACUUCGAGCGCAGGGGCAGUGCUAUCCCCUGCAGCCCUCACAAUUGAAAUAUCACAGAAGUAUCUUUGUUUCAUAGCAUCAAUCUGACUUUGCUCGUGUCACACCUGGAUUUCGGGGCACCAAGACCCGGGCGCGAACAUAAUCACCAGGUGUGCUGGGACCAAGUCUCACACAUAUGAUGAAUCAUGGCACAGGAUCGAAUGUCACAUCUUUACUGCAUAAUAGGAGUUCUAUACAAAAUAAAUAAUUACAUUAUAAGGAGACAACGGUCCAACAACCCAAAGUUGACUGGGAGACGACGACCUAGACCUCUCACGAACACAUCGCAGCAUCCUCCAUGUGCCUCAUCCCGUGGUACCUGUUCUUGACCUGUGGGGGGGUGAGACAGCAAGAGUGAGCUCACAUACGUUCAUUGCUCAACAAGUUGUGGGGAAUAAUGUGCAUGAACUCACCAAAGGUGGGAGCUCACGUGAAGUGUAAGGCUUACCAAAGAGGAUGGUUAGAGCUGAGCAUUGCUUUUAAAGUUGGUCAAAAUUUUAUUAGCAAUUACUAAGUAUAAGUAAAUACCAACCCAAUUAAGUAGCAGAACAAAAGUAACAACCUCACCUGUGAUGCAAUGCAUAUGACAAAUUGAGUUUAAGUUCCAUAAAUUAAUCAUGUGAGUGUCCGAGCUGCUCAUGACCGUGAGCACGGCUAGUAUACCAGUUUUACACUCUACAGAGGUUGCGCAUCUUUACCCAUAAGUCAUGUUACCCAUCUGCCAAGAGACGGCCAAUCCCAUACACCUCUACCGAGGAGGCGAGGCAGGGUAACACUACGAGGCCUUUACAAAGUUCCACUAGCUUCAGAAAACCCGCUACAGUUUAUAGGAAGCUCCAGUGCAGGAGUCCCUCGACUGACCGCCAUCGCAGCAAAAUCAACCAAGGACCCCCCUACACUGACCACUCCCCUACUGCCCUUGCCCCUUUCGGGUAAGGUAGUCAUCCACUAGCUUUCCUAGUUAAUCAGCCAAGGGCGUCCAUAAACCCUUGUGGUAGCACUGUUUUCCCGGGUGGUUCUCCAUGUUCCAAUUAACAUAAUGAUCUUAACAUGAACAAUAAAUAACAACUGAUAAGAAAAGUAUAAUCAUGAAUAGUGUAAUCUUCAUACCCAAAACCACAUAAAGCAAUAGCAGGUACUACCCAAAAAGUUUAGUGGAGUCAAGGUAUAAAGAUAAUCAAACUAGGGUAACCUGUUGGGUCCCAUCAAAAUUAACCUAUGCAGAUCAUUAUGAUUAAUCAAAACAUGACUGGGUAAAAAGAAGUGAUCAAGGGCACAACUUGCCUGGGACUUGAGAUUCCAGGUACCAGGAUGAUCUUCAGAUGACUUGUGACCUCACGCUAGUCGUAGCAAUACAAACAAACAUGGUAUAUGCAACAUUAACAUCACAACAAACAUAAGAAUAAACUGUGUAAUAAUAUUCUACGCUGCGUAACGAGAUCGUGGGUUCAAUAAUCACUGAAAUCUAAGUUAGAGUUGAAGAGAGAUGGUUUUUAGAAGAUCUAUGAAAUUAUCCAGUUAGAUCUAGGUCUUUAUGCUGGUUUUAUGAAUCAUGUGAUAAAGAUAUUUAAAGGAAUAACUUUAAUCUAUAUUACACCAGGGUAGAAUAAUAUUUUAGUUAAAUUAUGAUCAGAGGUAGACUAACCUCACAUAGAAUGAUUAAUCCACUAACAUAGGCUAAAUAAAUAACCUAAUACAAUCGUAUGUGGAACGAUAACCAUAAUUCUUUUAAUGUGUAAACAAUUUUAUUAUGAAGUUAACACAAUUUAAACGGAGUAAAACUGAGUUAAGAUGCAAAAGUUAUGUGUUACAUAAGUUUUAUGGCAUUUUUAAUAUUUGUUUUGCACUUAACAUAGAUUCCAGGGCUAUAAUGUAAAUUUCAGGGACCUUAAUGUAAUUACUUUGCCCAUCCACGCACGCCGCGUUAUUUUCCAUCAAGGACAAGGGCCACUUUGCAAAACCGAUCUCGGAUUCCUACACAAGGACACGUGCCGUCCUGCGACUGGCUGAGAUCGUGCCACACCCCGGUGCACAUGGUGAGGCGCACGGGAUCCGAUCCGCACAGGAUCCCCACCACCACACACAUGUGCAGACAAAAGAGAUCACCCUGGACCAUCAGAUCGACGAUCAAUGGCCCAGAUUCAAAGUGCCGAAGGGAUAUUUGCUUCUUCUAAUCUUGAUCGUCGCUUGCGAAUCCAACGACCCGAGGGCUUUCUUCCCCACUCACCUGGCACUCGACCCUGGCAGCACACAGUACUGGCGCGGCGGCGGCCAUGGCCGGGCCCGCCCACAACUCCUAAGCUCCGAUCUGUAGAGGAACCGCAUGUGAACCAGAGGGGAAGACUUACCCUCGAGUGAAGAUGGCAUGGAGACCCGGCCAUAGCGCAUAGUGGCAUCACGGUGGAGGCAUGAUACCGCGAGCAAUUCCCCAUAAUCCGAUCUUCAGCACGCCCAUGGACUGCCUCGACCACCAUCCAGAGCCCCGUACUUCUUCCUGGAUGUAUCACCAAAGCCAGACUGGCGGCGGUUUAUGGCUUGCCAACGACGACUCCGUGGCCCACCACUGUCUGUGUCACCGCUCGGCGCACACACAGAUCUCCAGGUACGAUGGCCGCGAGCAGCAGACAUGGGCGUGGGAGUAGAAGGGCUAGGGCGCUAGGGUCCCAACGCGGGCGCGCAUGGUGGCCGAGAGCUCCUGGCGGCCGACCGGUGACAGAUUGUUUUGGUGCCUGGCGGGAUGGACACCAUCGCAGGUUCCGCGCCACCAACACCAUCGAUCGCAUGCUAUUUUUUUCGGUUCAACCCCAGCGAAAUCCGUGUGUUUUCGCCGUGGUAUGGCUCUGGGUCGAGGGAAGGUCGCGGCAAGAAAUAUUUAUGGCCGGGGCGGAGGGGCAAUCGGAGGAUCCAAACCACCCACCGAAGUCGCGGUCUCCGUUAGCUUCGGUGUUCGUUUCGACGGGGAAGAAGACCAGUCCGACAAAAGGGCCCACAUGUCAUCAACACAGGAUUUGGGAGGGGUGGCGCAGCCAUUGUCAGGUGGGACCCGGUCGACAGCGACGCAUGGGGCUGGGCUGAGUGGCGCUGUGGAAGUGGGUCGGUCGGUAAGGAUUCAGCCCACGACGUGGGGAGAGGUCCUUCCAUUUUUUUAUUUCUUUUCUUCUGUGAUAUCCUGGCCCCUGGGAUGGUGAUUUCCUGGCCCAAGGCUUAAUAGAAUUAAUAGUGUAAUCAUACCAACAAGGUGCAUCUUCUUUUUCGGAAGCCUAUCUCGAAAGAACCUCCAAGUUAAGCGUGCUUGGCUUGGAGCAAUUUGGGAUGGGUGACCGACCGGGAAGUUUUCUCGGGUGCGCAUGAGUGAGGACAAAGUGCGCGCAAAAGACUCGUGUUGGUCUGUGGGGACAAUAUAUGAUCCUAGAGAGCUGCCAGGAGUAAGUACCGUCGGUCCAGGGAUUGGACGGGGUGUUACAAGUGGUAUCAGAGCCAACCCUCGCGGUUUCACGGGCGUGUGUGGGCUAGGGGGUUCGGGUAUAUGGCGCAUGGCGCAUAUGGGCCUGGAGUGGUCACAUGGCAUGGCAUAUGACGACACUAGACACAUAGACGUGGCUAAGAGGGGAGGUUCCUGGAUUGGGGUUGACCGACGAGGUCGUCGGUCUUCUAAGGGGGGUGGAUUGUGAUAUCCUGGCCCCUGGGAUGGUGAUUUCCUGGCCCAAGGCUUAAUAGAAUUAAUAGUGUAAUCAUACCAACAAGGUGCAUCUUCUUUUUCGGAAGCCUAUCUCGAAAGAACCUCCAAGUUAAGCGUGCUUGGCUUGGAGCAAUUUGGGAUGGGUGACCGACCGGGAAGUUUUCUCGGGUGCGCAUGAGUGAGGACAAAGUGCGCGCAAAAGACUCGUGUUGGUCUGUGGGGACAAUAUAUGAUCCUAGAGAGCUGCCAGGAGUAAGUACCGCCGGUCCAGGGAUUGGACGGGGUGUUACAUCUUCUAUUUUUCUUAUUUCUUUUCCAAUUUCUAAAUUUCAGAUUCAAUUCAAAUUCAAACAGAAGAAUUCAGCAGGAAUGCAGAUCCAUACUUUUAUUUAUUUAUUUUACUAUAUCUAUAAAAAUGAUUUUGAAUUCACCAAUUAUGCUCACAUAAGGUGUAUUAAGACACUAAUUUCUAAUCUUUAUUAUUUAUUUUUUUCCCAUUUACCUCUAUUUCAUUUUCAAGCUUGUUUCACGAACUUGGAUACAAAUGCAAUAAUACAAGAAUGAGAUGAAUAUUUCUGUAUUUAUUUAUUUGUUGUUUGACCCUUAUAAUUCCUAUUAAUUGAUUAUGCACAAAGAAAGAAAACCUAACAAAUCUCCAAAGGUUCCACAAUUCCAAAACACUUUUAUAUCAAUACAUGCAUUUAUUUAUUUUUAUUUUUUUAUUACACCAAUUUUAGGGCUUUACAGCUCGAUGGUUGAUUUUCUGAAGAUGGUAUGACUCGGCCGCCAGGGCCAAUCUUCGGCAUCUUCGUUUCCACUUUCCAAGUCGAAACUUUCACUAUCGCUGGAAUCCUCAGAUAGCCUAGCCAGCAUUUCGUUGCUGAUUUUCUCUGUAUUUGUCUUCUCCAUAGCUUCAUAAAACCCAGCCAGUGCAGGGUCAACAAUCUUUUUCUCUUCAGCCAUUUAGUCAAUGGUUGCACAAAUGCCGAAGCUUACAAUUUAAUCAAAAUUUGGUAGAGCAAGAAAAAUCAGAAUAACGAAAAUAGAGCAAGCAACUGAAAUGGCACAUCAAAUGCUAUCAAUGUGAGUCCCUAUUUAUAUGCCCAACGCCUCACAACUUGGUGGGCUCUACAUGUUAGUGUCUUUUGCUAUUCUAGUGAAGGGAAGGUGUUUUUCGGACCUCUAGCUAAAGGCCUUCGUUCACAUCGCAGUCUGAAUUUGUUACAAAGAAAUAAAUUAAUACUGCGAGGGGCUACUAUUGGGGGCCUUCCUCUUCCGAAGGUCCUAAAAACGUGACUAAUAUGUUUUUCAGUGUAACAUAGACUGCUGCAGGAGGCUUCGGUUUUGGGAUGAAGGUAUGCGUGAUAUGGAGAUACAACCCGAAGGCAGGAUGAACGGACAUCGAAGCUGUGGCUGAAGGAGCUUUGACUUAGUAUAAUGUCGAAGGUGGAAGAUGAAACCGACCUAAAGGGGAAAAGACUACUUAGUCCUUA
Molecule: long non-coding RNA, 27605 nt
Filed under: Zea mays
Lineage: Eukaryota; Viridiplantae; Streptophyta; Magnoliopsida; Poales; Poaceae
Description: long non-coding RNA (ZMAY_LNC001671)
Source: RNAcentral